Molecule: long non-coding RNA, 666 nt
Organism: Populus euphratica (Euphrates poplar)
Lineage: Eukaryota; Viridiplantae; Streptophyta; Magnoliopsida; Malpighiales; Salicaceae
Exons: 2
Source: RefSeq, a predicted model, not a curated record
UCGACCUCCACCUCUCCCCAAUAUAUACAAGCAGAAGAGAUUAUAUUCUCCAACGCUUUAUUCUUUUUCUCCUUUUAAUUUGAUUUCAUAAACAGCUUUGAAACAAGCCCAUAUGUCAUGCUAAUAUGUGUUGUUAAGGAUGCAUGCACCAAAUGCUACCCCUUACCUUGUGCUGAAGUGGCCACCUUCGUGGAUCCUGAAUCCCUGCUCUGGUUCCUGGGCAUCGUGCGCCUGUUCACCCAGCCCAGCCAACUCUGGUGGCAGUUCUACUGGAAACCAUGGAAAAGAAUGCUCCAGAAAACGCGGCCCCAAGAGGAGAGCCAUUUAUAUCCUCGGCAGACAGCAGGAGAUGAAAAGCUUCAAGACCAAGGAUGGAACAGACUGAUGUGAAUCUUCUUUGCUCUGAAUUUGGUUUUGUAAUUAAGGUAUAGAACUCUUUAUCAUGCUAAGCUGGUGCCGAUUCCGACAAUUAGGAAUCUCAAUCAUAUGCUCAUCUUUGAUUUUGUCUGAAAUCUUGUAUCCAUGUCUCCGUACGUUGACUGCUUGACUUUGAUCAGUCAUAACGAGGCCAUGCUUUGGAUGGCAGUGGUAUGCUUUAAGGGUCCUUUUAUGUGUCAUCUUAAAAUAAUAAUAAUAAUAAUAAGCAGCUGCCAUGGGUUAUCUUGA